This 235-nucleotide ribosomal RNA is filed under the name uncultured bacterium. RNAcentral's name for it is "partial 16S ribosomal RNA". It matches the Rfam family "Bacterial small subunit ribosomal RNA", at positions 101 to 334 of the family's 1533-position model. The record is from RNAcentral.
AACGGGUGAGUAACGCGUGAGGAACCUGCCUCAAAGAGGGGGACAACAGUUGGAAACGACUGCUAAUACCGCAUAAGCCCACGGGUCGGCAUCGACCAGAGGGAAAAGGAGCAAUCCGCUUUGAGAUGGCCUCGCGUCCGAUUAGCUAGUUGGUGAGGUAACGGCCCACCAAGGCGACGAUCGGUAGCCGGACUGAGAGGUUGAACGGCCACAUUGGGACUGAGACACGGCCCAG